This is a long non-coding RNA of Hibiscus syriacus, 633 nucleotides long. RefSeq lists it as uncharacterized. Lineage: Eukaryota; Viridiplantae; Streptophyta; Magnoliopsida; Malvales; Malvaceae. The record is from RefSeq and is a predicted model, not a curated record. The transcript has 2 exons.
UCAUUUUAUAACCAGCCGAAUUGGUUCCGCCCCCUCGCCAGACCAGCCGGUGGUCACGGCAGUAAUCUGUUGGACUUUCCGUGCAUCUGGCUUCUUUCGGAGGUGGCUUCAAUUUUGCUUGCCUCUAUCUUUACUCAUGUAUGGUUCAUCCUUGUUGCCGCAUAAGUUUAUUCUUUAUCCCAUCUGUUCUUCCUGUAACUAAUCUGAUCACAUUUAUUUAUUUGAAACUAAACUCCCAUGCAUACUCUUACCAAUUUAAGGCAAAAGGAUUAAUUAUUCUAUUUAAAAAAAAGUUGUGCAUUCAAAUUCAUCGGUUAAUGGUUGAACGAUAUGGAAAGAGAGAACUCUUAGUGAAGGUAAAAAGGAUAAUUUGCCUCUUGAUGAGGACCAGCCAAUCCAGACACAGAAGAGCUUGGAAGAGAAAGCCGACUAUCUUUUACGACAAAUUGAAGAACAACGACGGACUAUAGGUGACUUAAACUUCAAGGUAUGCGAGCUUAUCUUGUUGAUGAUACGCUAUGUACAUUUGAUUCACAAUGAGUUGUUAUCCUUCAUUUGUAACAAAUUUGCUUGGAGUUACCAAAAAUGUAGUACAGACCAUAACCAUCAAUGAUCAGCGAUUUGAUGUUUCCA